UAAUUUGGGGGUUUUGAAUACCCAUUUAUUUCGAUUAUUAACCAAGUAUAAAGAUAUGAUUUUACUGAGUUUUUAAGGAGUUUUUAACAAAGUAUUAAUGCUGGAAUUUUGUAUAAAGUAGUAUAAUUGUGAUUUUAUAAAAAGAGUUUAAUUACCCAUUAAAGAGAAGUUUAAUUAAGGGUUUUACUAUAAUUUUCAGAUUAUUUUAAGCAGUCUAAAGUGAAUUUAAGUUGCUGGAAAUUGUGUAUACAAGGGUAUUUAAUGUAGUAUUAUUGUCCCUUUAUGUAGGAGACUUGAUUCGGGUUUUGUUGUAGAGUACUAGGCUAUUUUAAGAGCUUAAUUGAGUGGAAACAAGUAGAGAUAAACUUUUCAGGUAUUGAAGCAUGAUCAUGAUGGGGCAUGAGUGAAGAGUGAAUCCUUUUAGUUUUCAUUAGAUUACAAUGUGUUUUAUGCUUUAUUUAUUUAUGAUAUAUUAUGUGUGGACUAACAUAAAAGUUUGAUUUGGGAACGGUUUUUGAAUAAGGGCCUCUAAUGGUUCCAAGUUGUAGUUUGAUUUUAUUUGACUUGUUCGUUUGGUUUUAAACUUUAUUUUCGUUUGGUUGACUUUGGGUUGACUUGUUUAAUCGGUUUUUAAUUUUGAGUCU
Molecule: long non-coding RNA, 644 nt
Organism: Chenopodium quinoa (quinoa)
Lineage: Eukaryota; Viridiplantae; Streptophyta; Magnoliopsida; Caryophyllales; Amaranthaceae
Exons: 2
Source: RefSeq, a predicted model, not a curated record